RNAcentral lists this ribosomal RNA (470 nucleotides) under uncultured bacterium. Its description in RNAcentral is "SSU rRNA". It matches the Rfam family "Bacterial small subunit ribosomal RNA", at positions 26 to 523 of the family's 1533-position model. The record is from RNAcentral.
AGCCUGAACGCUGGCGGCGUGGCUAAGACAUGCAAGUCGUACGGGCGCAGCAAUGCGUCAGUGGCGGACGGGUGAGUAAAGUAUCGCUAACGUGCCCUCCAGUCUGGGAUAGCCGAGGGAAACUUCGGGUAAUACCGGGUGACAUCACGAUCAGGCAUCUGAUUGUGCUCAAAGGGAAACCGCUGGAGGAGCGGGCGAUAUCGUAUCAGCUAGUUGGCGGGUAACGGCCCACCAAGGCGACGACGCGUAGCCGGACUGAGAGGUUGGCCGGCCACAUUGGGACUGAGACACUGCCCAGACUCCUACGGGGGGCUGCAGUAACGAAUCUUCCGCAAUGCACGCAAGUGUGACGGAGCGACGCCGCGUGUGGGACGAAGCCCGUUCGGGGUGUAAACCACUGUCAGGGGUAAGAAAGUUCUGAUCUGCCCCAGAGGAAGGCACGGCUAACUCUGCGCCAGCAGCCGCGGUAA